AACCCAGGAAAAAAGAGAGUCUACCGUGAUGGAAUUAUAGAGAGAGAGAAUUAGAGGCUGGGUGGGGUGUGGGGAAGGGGAAGAUCAAAGGCAGGGCAGCUCCGUUGCCCAUCGCCCCCCAAGGCGACCUCGGCGGAGAGGUAAUCCCUUUUGGCCGCUUUUCCUAUGAGGUUGUACAUCGUGGAUCGGAUGAGUCACAGCUGCAAUGGAAGAACGCGACCUUCGCGAGCUCAGAAUUAACAACAGUGGUAGUGAGAUGUGGGAGACAUUGAGCUCGAGAUGGCAGUGCGCUCGAUUAUGGAAAAAAGAGAAAGAGAUAGGGGUUUUGUGUGGGGAAGAAUAGAUGGGGGCUGUGGUCGUUGGAGGGUCAACAUUGCCUAUGUAUCUCCUCUCUCACUUCAAUUUUUUGCACCAUGCUCUGCUUCGUGAUCCUCUCAACAUGAAUAAUGGGCUAAGCUGGUGGGAGAAAAAAGAAGGGCAUGAUCUGGAUUAGGGAGGAGGCAAUUGGAUGGUGGGAGCUUUUCGGAAUUGCGCUUACUUAGUUGAGGUCGUUGCGGUGCCCAGGAGUGACCAGAGACCUCCCAUGGGUGGUAGAAGGGAGGGACCGUGGCUGGAUGGGAGCUCCUGCAACGGUGACUUCUCGACCUUGGUGAGACACAUGGUGUGCGUGGACUUGUAAGCCUGUUGUUUCAUUUCUUUAUCUCCUCACCGUUCAGGAUCAUGGAUGAGCCAACUAUUGAGUCGAGAAGAAUGAUUCUGGAUCACGGUUGAAUAGGCUUUCGAGAAGAAUGGCUGGCGGUAAUUGGAAAGGUAUAGUAGUUGGUUAAGGCUGUAGCAUUCUGAGGUCAAUCUUCGCAGGUUGAGGGAAUAAAAGACCUCCUAGACAAGAGAGAACAUAAGAUAGGUGCUGAGAUAUUUAAAGUAGUUUUGACCUGCCUGCCUAGGCGAUUGCUAAGAAUGCUGGGACAAAUGGCAGUGUUGUCGUGGAGAAGAUUUUAUCAAUUGACAAGGUGAGGUAGGGAUAUAUGCUGCUAAGCGCAGCUACGAGGAUCCAAUGUCCACUGGCAUAACCGAUCCAUCCGAGGUAUAAGUUUUACAUUCAAGAAUCAACGCAUUUAAACAUUCAAAAUGCACUCCAUGAAAUAAAAAGAAAAUGGUAUCAUAUAUGAUAAUAUUAUAUCAUCUUUUGAAAAAAAAUAGAUUAUUAACCAUUAAUAGAGAGUUCAUACUUUUUUACAAAUGAGUGUUUUAUUAUUAGUUUCAGCUAUACACUAUAUUGAUUAUUACAACAACUAUUACGAUGAAUCAAAAAAUUGAAGAAAAAUUUCCAACUCGCGGCAUGGUGUGGGUUUGCCCCUAGUUGACAUGGUUAUAGAUCAAUUGGUCAGUUUCACAAUAUGUUCCGUAAAUAACCACAUCUUGACAUAAAUAUUUAUUUGAAAAUCUUUUAAAAAAUAAUAUAUUAUAUGAUGUAAAUAUCACAUUUGAUCAGAAAAUAUAUAUUUGAUUAAUUUAAUAACUAAAUGUAGUAGUAAACUAUCAUGUAAAAAAAUUCAAAAAUAUAUUAUACAGAAGAUUAAUAAAUUUGGGAACUUUUCUGUAGAUGACAACAUUUUACCAAAAAUAAUUAUUUUACCACAGUUUAUCAAUGGCCCUUGAUUAAUCCAGUCAGCCCAUUAAGGGUAAAGCUCUUAUAGUAUAGAUUUUCUCAAUUCAUAAGACUUGAAUUCAAGACCUUGCCUAAAGGGAACAAGCGCUUGAACCAAUCCACGUUAGUGCCAAAAAUAUAAUUAUUGAGAAUUCACAAGUUCAAAAAUUCAUGAUUUAGCCAUUUAUUUUGGCAGGCUGUGAUUUAGCCAUUAUUUGAAAAUUGAAAGGAUUCGCAAUAUAUUAUAAUAAUAAACUUAAAAAAUUCAAAAAAUAUCAUUGAUCAUUAAAUAUCAAUUCAAAAUUGAAAGUUCAUAAUCUUUUUUAUUAUAUUAUAAAAAACUAAAAACUUUAGAUUUAUAAAAUAAUAUUCUGAAAUUUUUUUAAAUAAAAACUGUAAAAGUUUGAGAAAAUUUCGUUGAAUAAUCUAAGCAUCACACAGAGUCUUUACUUUCAUAAAUAUAAAUAUAAAUAUAUAUCUAUAUAUAUAGAUGUAUAAUAAAAUUGACCUUGAGAGCAAUACAUCCUAUUAAUGUUUCUCUUGAUAACGCCUGUAAUUACUAAAAGAAUUAAAAAUAAAUUAUGAAAGAUGAACAAAAUUAAAUUUUCACUCAUUAAUCUAAUGCUAAGGAUUGGAACAUAAAUUAAUAUUAAAGAAUUACAUCUGACAAUAAUUUACAUAGAUAUUGAAUAUAAAUGGUAUAAAUUUUUAUAAAAUUAAAGGCACUGAAUUAUAAUCUCGCAUAUUAGUGACGAAUUAGAAAAUCAUUAUAUGAUAUAUGAAAACAAAUAACAUUAAUUUCAUCAUUAUAUUUCCUCGUAUAAAUGCUAAGAGAUAUGGGAUUUCCUUUGACGAAUCAAAUCUAAAGAAAACAAGAAGAGAAAGUGAGAAUUAAUACUCCGUUUGGUUUCGCAGUUAAAAUCACAAAAAAUUUAACUUUAAUUUUAACUCAACACACUAUAUAACAAAAAUACACAUUUUCCAAGUCAAAAAUUUUAACUUUAACUUUAACUCAAUAUACUACACAAUCAUUUGUCAUUUUCCACAAUCAAAAUCAAAGUUACUUUAACUCUAAAAUCAAACGCACCAUUCAAUCAUGCUAAUAUUUAGCUACAAGGACUACCAAAGGAAUUAGCAAAUGGCCUUUCCCAUACACAUUUCACCUAACAGUUAGGUUUGCCCGGGAGUUUUUGUAAUAGAAGGCUAACACAUGGACGCCCCUAGUGCCCACAUGUAGGAGACCACAUUAGUUUUCCGUUAGAAAAUUUGACGGUCGGACCUAACUAUUUGACGGAAUAAGACUUAAUAUGGAGGUUCUCAAGUAUUAGUUCAUUAAAUAUUUAUGGACCAAAGUGUCAAUUCACUCAUUUAUUUUUUCAGUUUGGGUUGUGUUUAUGAACUUAAUACGGUUAUUGAUGUUCUCAUUAAGUUUAAGUGAUUAACUAGUUUGAAUAGUUGUGUGAUCGAAGAAACACAGUGAGGAUAUGUUUGGAUUGUUUAUUGAUAAUAUUGACACACUAUUGCACCAUUAUGAACAAGGGAUGACAUAAUAUAAAAUCUAUAUGUGAGGUUCAAUUAAUUAUUUAAAUCCUGUUAUAUACUAAAUAUAAAUACUAAUUCUAAAGGUUAGACUGCGUAUUAGUCGAAGGUGCAAAUAGGAUAAUAUUCUAUUUCCCACAUUGGUUAUCCUAAUUAUAUUAUAUAUCUGAUAUUUCUAAUAGUUGUAUCGGUUUUUCGUUAUUCUAAAAUCUCUAACCUGUGGGUGCAAGUAGGGGUAUGCACAGAUACCGGGUAUACUCGGAACCGGUCGGAACCUACCCGUUAGGGUAGGGUUCGGGUAGCUCAUAUUGAAAAUAAGAUAGGGUCCGGUUAUUAAAAUAAGAAACCGGUGAAAACAGGUUUCGAUUAUGGAUCCGAUUAGUGCAUAAUGUAUCCCGAACCGGAACCGGAAUCGGUACCCAGACUCGAUAAUAAUUUCCCAUAGUUAUAUUCAGACAUAUUUCUCCAUUUUACUUUAUCGUCUUCACCUCUCUCUCUCUCGAUGGAAGCCUCGCAAUCCUUAUCGUCGAUAACUUUGGUUCAACGACCUCGGUGUGUCAUCAGUAAGGCCUGAUCGUAUUACGAAUGUUUAGUUUUGUAGAUGGAUCGAUGAGACAUAUUUUUAUUUGUAUUAAAUGUAUUGCGGAUUAAUCUAAAUCUAUAUCGACAUUUUGUUUUGCGUGAUUAGGAUUAUGGAUGAGAUAUUUUCGGCUUUAUUUAGAGAGAGAAAAAAAUUUACAGGUUCCAACAGGGUACCUGGAACCUGUAGUAUAAUACAGACUCCGGAUAUGUUCCGGUUUCAAAACUCAACAGGGUAGGGUUCGGUUCCAAAAUUUUGGAAACCCUUCCUUAAAAGGUAGGGUCUGAGUAUCGUGAAAAAAAUAGGUACCCAGACUCAAACACCCCUAGGUGCAAGGACCUUUCAUCUAGCUUAUAAGAUUGUUUCCAUAUCUCUUUUUAUUCUCAAUUUUUUAUUAUUUUGUCAAAAGAAAGACUCAUGAGCUUACAAAGAGGUAGGAAAAAAAAUAAAAAAUAAAAAGAUACGAGAGUUUUAUUAAUGAGAAUUAAAUCCCGAACUUCUUGAUUCUAAGUCGAGGACAAUAUCACUGCAUCAAAUCCCGUAUCUUUCUUCAAUUCUCUAUUUUCUAAAAGCCAUACUAUGAGACUAAUCCUCUCUUUAGUCUUUCCAUUUUCUAAGUAGUCCAUGAGGGGUUAAUUAACCUCAAUCUAUCUUUAUUUGAUUAUGGAUGAUGGUAAAUAUUAAAAAAAAAACUAUGCUCUUCUAUCUCUCCUUAAUCAUGACAUCUUUAGCAAAACA
Non-coding RNA from Punica granatum (pomegranate), 4505 nucleotides. The record is from RefSeq and is a predicted model, not a curated record. Lineage: Eukaryota; Viridiplantae; Streptophyta; Magnoliopsida; Myrtales; Lythraceae.